AUUGAACGCUGGCGGCAUGCUUUACACAUGCAAGUCGAACGGUAACAGGCCGCAAGGUGCUGACGAGUGGCGAACGGGUGAGUAAUGCAUCGGAACGUGCCCAGUCGUGGGGGAUAACUACUCGAAAGAGUAGCUAAUACCGCAUACGAUCUAUGGAUGAAAGCGGGGGACCGUAAGGCCUCGCGCGAUUGGAGCGGCCGAUGUCAGAUUAGGUAGUUGGUGGGGUAAAGGCUCACCAAGCCAACGAUCUGUAGCUGGUCUGAGAGGACGACCAGCCACACUGGGACUGAGACACGGCCCAGACUCCUACGGGAGGCAGCAGUGGGGAAUUUUGGACAAUGGGCGCAAGCCUGAUCCAGCAAUGCCGCGUGCAGGAAGAGGGCCUUCGGGUUGUAAACUGCUUUUGUACGGAACGAAACGGCUCUGGUUAAUACCCGGGGCUAAUGACGGUACCGGAAGAAUAAGCACCGGCUAACUACGUG
This 482-nucleotide ribosomal RNA is filed under the name uncultured bacterium. RNAcentral describes it as "partial 16S ribosomal RNA". It matches the Rfam family "Bacterial small subunit ribosomal RNA", at positions 30 to 507 of the family's 1533-position model. The record is from RNAcentral.